GGGGAAUAUUGCACAAUGGGCGAAAGCCUGAUGCAGCGACGCCGCGUGAGCGAAGAAGGCCUUCGGGUCGUAAAGCUCUGUCCUAUGGGACGAUAAUGACGGUACCAUAGGAGGAAGCCCCGGCUAACUACGUGCCAGCAGCCGCGGUAAUACGUAGGGGGCGAGCGUUGUCCGGAAUGACUGGGCGUAAAGGGUACGUAGGCGGCCAGGUAAGUCAGGUGUGAAAUUCUAGGGCUCAACCCUAGUGAGCACUUGAAACUGCUUGGCUUGAGUCGAGGAGAGGAAGGUGGAAUUCCUGGUGCAGCGGUGAAAUGCGUAGAUAUCAGGAGGAAUACCAGUGGCGAAGGCGACCUUCUGGCCUUGGACUGACGCUGAGGUACGAAAGCGUGGGGAGCAAAC
RNAcentral lists this ribosomal RNA (399 nucleotides) under uncultured bacterium. RNAcentral's name for it is "bacterial SSU rRNA". It matches the Rfam family "Bacterial small subunit ribosomal RNA", at positions 356 to 773 of the family's 1533-position model. The record is from RNAcentral.